This is a non-coding RNA of Skermanella aerolata KACC 11604, 216 nucleotides long. The record is from Rfam. Lineage: Bacteria; Pseudomonadati; Pseudomonadota; Alphaproteobacteria; Rhodospirillales; Azospirillaceae.
GAAGUCCGGUCCGGGAAGGGGGUAGCGCCCGCCCGGUAGCGAGUGUUGCGGGACCAUCGGUGACGAUGGUCUUGAAGCGUACACAGCGAGACGACGAGGACUGUAUUGAGCUUCGAAAGCUUCUUACCGUGGAGGCCGAGGCGUUACAAACCGCAGCAGGCAACAUGUGCGGGACCGUUCUGCGAGGGACCGUCGCUCCACCGGAGUCUGAGACCA